UAAUUUCAUGUGCAACUAGGCCCGCACCCGCGCUACAGCGCGGGGGAAAAGUGUCGGUUUUUGUUUUUUUUUCGAAUUACGUAAACUUUUAACUGUUAAAAUAGAUUGUUGGUGUUGAAUUUGCCAAGUAUGAGAAUAUGUACUAUCGUGGAUGUGUACUUUGUCACGUAUGCUAGGUUCAGAUCCGCGCUACAGCGCGAAAGAAUAUUUU
Molecule: long non-coding RNA, 211 nt
Filed under: Capsella rubella
Lineage: Eukaryota; Viridiplantae; Streptophyta; Magnoliopsida; Brassicales; Brassicaceae
Description: long non-coding RNA (CRUB_LNC001799)
Source: RNAcentral